Molecule: RNA transcript, 626 nt
Organism: Rhodamnia argentea
Lineage: Eukaryota; Viridiplantae; Streptophyta; Magnoliopsida; Myrtales; Myrtaceae
Gene name: (+)-neomenthol dehydrogenase-like
Exons: 3
Source: RefSeq, a predicted model, not a curated record
GUGGAGGCUCAUAUCGACCUCCUCCAACUAUCUGGUUCGCCGAGGAUAGUAAAUGUUUCAUCCAGCAUGGGGAAGCUUGAGAAUGUCUAAUGAAUGGGCCAGGGGAAUUCUGAGUGAUCCCGAGAACAUCACGGAAGAGAAAGUGGAGGGGAUCAUGAAGGCUUUCCUUGCAGACUUCAAGGACGGUUCGUCCGAAGCCAAAGGGUGGCCUGCCUACAUGCCCGCUCACCGCCUCUCGAAAGCGGCCAUGAAUGCCUACACUAGGAUCCUUGCGAAGAAGUACCCGAGUAUUGCCGUCAAUUGUGUGUGCCCCGGAUUUGUCAAGACGGACAUCAACUGCAACACCCGCUUCAUGUCGGUCGAGGAAGGCGCCGAAGGCCCAGUGAAGCUGGCGCUUCUUCCAAAUGGCGGUCCUUCUGGCUGCUUCUUUUUCAGGAAGGAAGAGUCGGAAUUUUGAUAGAAGAUAGUAGCCUUCACUCUCUUGUCUUCCUUGUGAAUGAAAAGUCUAUCUCACCUAUCUCUACUGUGUGGUGAACUAAAUAAAGGUCUAGUUGUAGAUCACGGCCCUCAACAGAUUGAUAUUUCAUAUCCCACUGUUUUAGAUGUUUUACUUGGGUUCAAUCUCA